GAUGAACGCUGGCGGCGUGCCUAAUACAUGCAAGUCGAGCGAACAGACGAGGAGCUUGCUCCUCUGACGUUAGCGGCGGACGGGUGAGUAGCACGUGGAUAACCUACCUAUAAGACUGGGAUAACUUCGGGAAACCGGAGCUAAUACCGGAUAAUAUAUUGAACCGCAUGGUUCAAUAGUGAAAGACGGUUUUGCUGACACUUAUAGAUGGAUCCGCGCCGCAUUAGCUAGUUGGUAAGGUAACGGCUUACCAAGGCGACGAUGCGUAGCCGACCUGAGAGGGUGAUCGGCCACACUGGAACUGAGACACGGUCCAGACUCCUACGGGAGGCAGCAGUAGGGAAUCUUCCGCAAUGGGCGAAAGCCUGACGGAGCAACGCCGCGUGAGUGAUGAAGGUCUUCGGAUCGUAAAACUCUGUUAUUAGGGAAGAACAAAUGUGUAAGUAACUAUGCACGUCUUGACGGUACCUAAUCAGAAAGCCACGGCUAACUACGUG
Molecule: ribosomal RNA, 497 nt
Filed under: uncultured bacterium
Lineage: Bacteria
Description: partial 16S ribosomal RNA
Rfam family: Bacterial small subunit ribosomal RNA
Source: RNAcentral